UGAGGGAUAUUGCACAAUGGGGGAAACCCUGAUGCAGCAAUGCCGCGUGAGGGAAGACGGUCUUCGGAUUGUAAACCUAAGUUGUCAGGGACGAAAUAUGACGGUACCUGAAGAGAAAGCUCCGGCUAACUACGUGCCAGCAGCCGCGGUAAUACGUAGGGAGCAAGCGUUGUCCGGAUUUACUGGGUGUAAAGGGUGCGUAGGCGGGUUUGCAAGUCAGACGUGAAAUACCGGGGCUCAACUCCGGGGCUGCGUUUGAAACUGUAGAUCUUGAGUGAAGUAGAGGUAGGCGGAAUUCCUAGUGUAGCGGUGAAAUGCGUAGAUAUUAGGAGGAACACCAGUGGCGAAGGCGGCCUACUGGGCUUUAACUGACGCUGAGGCACGAAAGCGUGGGGAGCAAACAGG
This 405-nucleotide ribosomal RNA is filed under the name uncultured prokaryote. Its description in RNAcentral is "bacterial SSU rRNA". It matches the Rfam family "Bacterial small subunit ribosomal RNA", at positions 355 to 776 of the family's 1533-position model. The record is from RNAcentral. RNAcentral also lists the same sequence under 1 other name.